GACGAACGCUAGCGGCGUGCCUAAGAAAUGCAAGUCGAGCGAGGUUGAGGCUUCGGCCGAAGGCCUAGCGGCGAACGGUCGCGUAACACGUAAGCAACCUGCCCCAGAGUGGGGGAUAGCCCGCCGAAAGGCGGAUUAACACCGCAUGUGGACAGUCUUUCGCAUGUAGGAUUGUCUAAAACAGCAAUGUGCUCUGGGAUGGGCUUGCGGCCUAUCAGCUAGUUGGUGUGGGUAACGGCCCACCAAGGCGACGACGGGUAGCUGGUCUGAGAGGAUGGUCAGCCGGACUGGGACUGAGACACGGCCCAGACUCCUACGGGGGCAGCAAUUAGGAAUCUUGCGCAAUGGGCGAAAGCCUGACGCAGCGACGCCGCGUGACUGAUGAAGUCUUUCGGGAUGUAAAGGUCUUUUGCAGGGGAAGAAGGAUGUGACGGUACCCUGCGAAUAAGCCCCGGCUAACUACGUGCCAGCAGCCGCGGUAAUCUACUCGUA
This 492-nucleotide ribosomal RNA is filed under the name uncultured bacterium. RNAcentral's name for it is "bacterial SSU rRNA". It matches the Rfam family "Bacterial small subunit ribosomal RNA", at positions 28 to 529 of the family's 1533-position model. The record is from RNAcentral.